Molecule: ribosomal RNA, 253 nt
Filed under: uncultured bacterium
Lineage: Bacteria
Description: partial 16S ribosomal RNA
Rfam family: Bacterial small subunit ribosomal RNA
Source: RNAcentral
UACAGAGGGGGCAAGCGUUGUUCGGAAUUACUGGGCGUAAAGGGCGCGUAGGCGGCCUGCUAAGUCGAACGUGAAAUCCCUGGGCUCAACCCAGGAACUGCGUCCGAUACUGGUUGGCUUGAAUUCGGGAGAGGGAUGUGGAAUUCCAGGUGUAGCGGUGAAAUGCGUAGAUAUCUGGAGGAACACCGGUGGCGAAGGCGGCAUCCUGGACCGAUAUUGACGCUGAUGCGCGAAAGCCAGGGGAGCGAACGGG